Molecule: long non-coding RNA, 13108 nt
Filed under: Prunus persica (peach)
Lineage: Eukaryota; Viridiplantae; Streptophyta; Magnoliopsida; Rosales; Rosaceae
Description: long non-coding RNA (PPER_LNC005953)
Source: RNAcentral
UCUGAAGCACUGCCAACAGAAGAUCAAAACCCAUCUGUGUUCGGAGAUUUUGCUCCAGAGCAAUACACCAUCUUCCGAGGAAUUCACGGAUCACGCUUUCUAAAUUAGAACGGGAAACAGGGAGCUGUUCAGAAAAUACAAAAGAAAAACCAACCGCCAUAAAAAGCCCACACAGACGGUGGCGUUGGUUGAAAUAGAAAGCUGCCACCCAGGAAACUAGGGAAGGGACUGCUUUAGGAGGUGACUACUGAGAGCCUAUCUGCCAUGAUUGAUAAAAAUCCUUUUUUACUUUACAUUAUAGUGAGAUCUUUUUAACCGCCCAUUAUUUAAAUUUGAAACCACCUCCCCAAGAGGGUCUCUUAUAAAAACGAAGGUAGGCAAGGAAGGGACGACACUCAAUUCAUCAAUCAAUCAAAAAAACAAACAACAAAAAAACAACCAAAAGCUCACUUGGAUUCCAAGAGAAACCAGCUUUAGAUCAGAAUUCCAAAGUUCAGACUUAGAAAAUAAGUCUUCUAAAACGAGAUCUCUCUCGUUACAAAUUUGGUUCAGCAAAAGCCAAGGAAAGCAGAGUUUGAGUUUUCACAAACGUGGAGACCUCAGCAAACUUAUAAAGAGUCCUGCUCAAGCAGAACAACGCUCGUAGUGCAAUCCCUAGCCUACCAGACCUUCGAGAAUAGCCACUUCUGCCCCUUCAAAUUGAAGAAGCUGCAGUUCUGCCCACUCAAAUGCCUCACGAAGCAUGAAGUAAACAUAAAGCUCUGCCAAAUCGAACUUUGGUAUCGAUUUAUAGCUUAGCCUAGCAUCUGAAGUCACGAAGCAGUAUGGACCGACCCAGGCGCGUCCAGUCCAGCCCAAGCCAGAGCCUUCCAUCCAAGCAGAAGCGGAGUUCCGGCCAUCUUUUAACCUUCCUAGGGUCGAUAUGCAUAUUUAUUGUUUUGUAAAAGGCAGUUCUGCCCACUAAAAGGCCACACGAAGCGUGAAGUAAACAUAAAGCUCUGCCAAAAUCGAACUUUGGUAUCGAUUUAUAGCUCAGCCUAGCAUCUGAAGUCACGAAGCAGUACGGACCGACCCAGGCGCGUCCAGUCCAGCCCAAACCAGAGCCUUCCAUCCAAACAGAAACGGAGUUCCGACCGUAUUUUAACCUUCCUAACAUCGAUAUGCAUAUUUAUUGUUUUGUAAAAGGCAGUUCUGCCUAAGACAGCCCAACUUCUAUCGAAUAUUUCUGGCCAGAACAACCAUUUGAUACUGAGAUAAAUUAUGAAAGUCCUCACCAGUCUGAGGCAAGAAAAGAACUUACUUGGGAGAUAUUCCUCACCCAAAUUCACAAUCAUUUGUUUUAGAAGUCAGUAACUUAGGGCGCAAGUUAUCCACUCUAAAAAGAAGUCUGCUAGGAUUUACAUCGCUAGCAGUGGCACGCUCACACACCAAAGAAAGCCGACUUGUCGACCAACCAAUGGUCUCCAAGCCAGUGGGGAACUUCGCCCUUCCACCUCAGGAGUAAACACGAAAACGGGUGAACAAUUUGGCACGCCCGGUGGGAUUUCUCGGUAUACAUACUCUGACAGAAUCAUUCACAGAUUUUCAAAUACCGGAAGAGCUAGCCAGAACCCACACCAGAUAUGGAGAGAAACAAGAUGGUUCUCAGGGAAGGCCUCGAAUCAGAAGAAAGCGAUGCUAGGCAAUCUGCCCACGGCAGUACAGGAAGUAGACGUUCCAGGACUAGCUCCAAAAGGAUGAAUCAAAUACAGGAGUCAGUACUCCGACAAGAAAUCACAGUACAAAGGAGCCAGGACACUCUCAAUAGCAUGACAGCCAUGAUGCAAUGGCAGGUUAACAGACAGUUCUGGAAGGACCGAGAAUCCGCCAUGGCCAGAAUCCCAAACUCGGAUCCUGUAAUCCAGCAGUUAGAUCUCCCUUAUGGCCCUCCGCCAGGACUAGCAUGGCCAUACCAGGAAAACCCCCUAGUUGCACAGAUAGCUGGAGUACCAAACCACAGAGAAAUUCAGGUUGGUCCGAGGGAAGGAGCCCUUCCUAAUCAAGAACACGAAGCCCCAGCCCGACCAGAUGACCUUGCACUAGCUCAGCAGAACCAGCCAGAACCUCAGCCCAUUCCACUUCAUGUGGCCCCGCAUGAUCAACCUUUGGCACUUCUGCCUGAACCACCAGCAGUAUUGCCAUAUAGACCCAGAAGGAUGGACCCUAAUCCAUUUCCUCUACCCGCAAGAGGGAGAAGAGGCAGAGGGGGGAAUAACCUUUUUGCUAAUCAUGACAGGAAUAGGCAGGGGGCAAACUGGAGGAAUCACCCAGACAUCGAAGAGCAGGAAGAGCGCAGGGAGGAAGCUCCACCCAGACCAUAUAGAGCAGAGCCUAGGAUCGAUUACGUCCAGCCAGAACAGGGACAAAAUCUUCCCCCUGUCAAUGCUCUGAAUGACAUAGGAGCAUUACAAAGAAUGAUCAGAGAAAUCAUGGAGCCCGAGGCUAGAAGAGGGGAAAGGCCUACUUACAGAAAGCCAUACCCAGCCUAUAUCGAUCAAAUACCGCUGUCUCCAGGUUUCAAAGUACCAAACUUCACCUUGUUCAAUGGGGAGGACCCCCAUGCUUCCUCAGUUGAACAUAUAAGCAGGUUCUCCGUCCAAUGCAUAGCUAUUGAGAACAACCCUCUGUUGAAAUUAAGGCUUUUCGGCAAUUCUCUCUCUGGACAAGCUUUCACCUGGUACACCAGCCUGCCAGCUAACUCUGUCCAAACAUGGAAGCAGAUGGAAAAUGUCUUCCAUGACUACUAUUACAGGAUUAAGCCAGAAGUCACCAUCAGUGAUCUAGCUGCCCUCUGCCAUGUGCUUUGAAGCAAGGUAUUAUCAUGAUGACCACGGUCCUUUCACUUUCCUUGGAGUCAACCAGAACGGCCGCCCCCAUGGUGUCACGGCCCAAAGACUCAUUGAAGAAGGUUUAGCCAGUUCUCUAGAAGACUGGAAUAGACCUUUUUGUGCUGAACUACCAGAACUCUGAUGUGUAGUCUCAAUCAACUGGAUAAGAAUCGAGCUGCAACAAUCCGAUCCAUCACAAAAAGAUUGUUGAUAUACUGGGAAGAAAGGAGGCUUUUCAUACAGAAUCCAGCCAUCAAUAUGGCAGAAUUCACCCAUGAAAGCAUAACGGAACAAGAGGAGGAAAUUUUACAGAAGGAAGUAUUAGAUUUUGCACCAGCAGCACUGGCUGACUCCCUGCCAGAAGUGGAGGAUCCUCUACAGGAAAUAAACUUAGGGACAGAAGAAGAUCCAAGGCCUACUUUCAUCAACACACUUUUGAAGGAACCACUCAAGACUGAACUCAUGGCACUGUUGCAGAAAUUCAGAGAUUGUUUUGCCUGGCAUUACCAUGAGAUGCCAGGAUUGGACAGGCAGUUAGUGGAGCACAAGCUGCCAAUUAAAGAUGGCUACCUUCCAGUUAAACAGGCCAGAAGAAGAAUGUCUAUGGACACGGAACUAAAGGUCAAAGAAGAGGUAGAAAGGCUGCUCAAGGCAGGAUUCAUCAGGCCAGCCGUCUAUGCCGAUUGGUUAGCAAAUAUUGUACCUGUUCUCAAAAGAAAAACAGGGGCAAUUAGAAUCUGCGUGGAUUACAGAAAUCUGAAUGAGGCAUCUCCCAAGGACGAAUAUCCUAUGCCAAUGGCAGACAUGCUAGUGGAUGGAGCUGCUCAUAACCAGAUGCUAUCUUUCAUGGACGGCAAUGCAGGUUAUAACCAGAUUAUGAUGGCAGAACAAGACAUCCACAAGACAGCCUUUAUGUGCCCAGGACAUAUAGGUGCUUUCGAAUAUACUGUAAUGCCUUUCGGUUUGAGAAAUGCGGGGGCCACCUACCAAAGGGCAAUGAAUUCCAUUUUUCAUGAUAUGAUAGGACAUUCCUUGGAAGUAUACAUAGAUGACGUGGUGAUUAAAUCCCCCGAGGAAGGAAACCACGUAGCGAGCCUGAGAAAGGCAUUCCUAAGAAUGAGGCAGCACAAACUAAAAAUGAACCCCAAAAAAUGUGUUUUUGGAGUCCAAGCAGGAAAUUUCUUAGGAUUCUUGGUCCACCAGAGAGGUAUAGAGGUUGACAGAAAUAAAGCAAAAUCCAUCAUAGAAGCCCUACCACCUCGAAACAAGAAGGAACUUCAGAGUCUCCUAGGAAAAAUCAAUUUUCUAAGGAGAUUCAUAUCCAAUUCUGCGGGAAAAAUCCAACCUUUUUCUUCCCUGUUAAGGCUGAAGUAGGAACAAACAUUCAAAUGGGAAGAACAACACCAACAGGCUUUCCAGGAAAUAAAGCAUUACCUCUCAAAUCCACCAGUUCUGUCCCCGCCAAAAAGAGGCAGACCACUCAAGCUCUAUGUAUCUGUAUCAGAAGUAUCCAUUGGAAGUCUGCUAGUUCAAGAUAACAAAGAAGGAAAGGAACAAGCAGUCUACUAUCUAAGCAGAACAUUAACAGAAGUGGAAAGAAGGUAUUCCGCAAUAAAAAGGCUUUGCCUGGCCUUGUAUUUCACUGCUGUAAAACUCAGGCACUACAUGCUGCCACAUACUAUCUACAUCAUUGCCAAGACAGACUUAAUCAAAUACAUGCUAACAAGACCAAUGCUGAGGGGCAGAAUUGGGAAAUGGACUUUGGCUUUGACAGAAUUCAUGUUGGUUAAUUUUAACAACAAUAUUAAAACCUUGCAAGUGCACAAAUCAAAUGAUAGUAUAGUAAGCAAGCAAGGGUCGAUCCCACGGAGAUUGUGAUCUAAAGAGAUGUUUUUCAAUGUCACGCAAUGAAAAUCAAAACAAAGGACUUCCAAACACACGCCAACACCAAGGGGGGUUUUGAUUUGUUUUUGUGAAUCAAACAAAAUAAGGAAAAGGAAACAAAAGAGAAUUUAAAUUAGAGUUUAAGAGAAAUUGGUUUAAAAUCAAUCAAGAACAAUAGCUAGGACUUACUAUCCACCUCCAAACAAUCAAUCAAUCCAUAAACAACAAUAGAUAAUCAAUUUCUAGCAAGCAUAUGAUGACGACACUCACAACAAGAUCAUGGCAUUUGACUCGAGUUGUAUGAUUCUCUCUUAAGUGUAUGUAAAGUGUAUGGCAUUUACAUCAAUACGUGUAUUCUUAAUUGAAAUCUAGUAUGGCAUUUACUCAAAUUAACAAUCAAGAAUCCAUUAAGAUCAAAGAGAAUAUGAGUGUCACAAAAACCCUAAAACAUGGCAUUUGUUAUUAGGAAUUCAAGAAUCGAUUUCUCAUAACUAGUUCUUAACCCAAUUAUUCGUUGCAAACAAGAACACAUUCAAUAUGGCAAUUGACCUAUGUUCUACAACAAUUUAAUUCCAAUACAUGCUUCUAAGUCAGCUACUCAAAGAAACAAAAUAUCAGAAUUCACAUAACAUAGAGAAACCGAAAUCAUCACGCUUGUAGAAACUAAAAAUCCAUUAAACUUGUUUAUAAAAUUGAAAUCAUGUUUAGGGCUUCAAGAUUAAGCCCUAACUAACAAGAAAUUAGUUACUCAUGGUCUUGGAUGAACUCAAAAAUAAAUACAUAAGAACUGAAAAUUAAAAGAAGGAAGGAAAAGAAAGAACUCGUUCGCAGCUUUCUCCUCUUGCCCGGUUGAUCUCUUUAGGACGUGAAUGCUUUUUUAUCAGGCCUUGGCUCGUCUUUUAUAUCACUUAUAUCAGAGUUCUAAACCCUAAAAUUGACUGAAAAGUCGUCCGAGAAGUCUUGGUAAACAAGGAAUCCAAAUAGGAAAGUAAAAAUCACAAUUCCUAACUCCACUGGGAAAUACAGCUCAGCCCAAUGUUCACACGAUUUGGGGAUCUUCGACCUUGUAGAAAAAUCAUUAAAAAUAUAUUUUAGAAAGAUAAAUGUCUUAUCUUUCCAACCAUAUAUAGCACGUAACUUGAAAAAUUCGGAAAGGCUUCCGUUUCUUCACAUUCACGUAACAUGUACGAAACUGUCCUGUCUGCACGUGGGCUAACUUUUCUUGUAAUACUGUACCAAUUGGCUCGGUAGAAAAUUCUAGAAAAAUCAUAGAUUGAACUUCAAGAUGUUAGCUUUCAUCUCCAAUUGGUCUUGCGCUAAAAUUCCUCCGAAAAGUUGAUUUUCCCUUAAAAACCUUCUAAGAGCGCAGAAAAGCUGAAAAUCAGAAAAAUAAAGUAAUAAGCCCUUUUUAAAUCUAAUUCUCUUACAAAACCAAAGUAAAAAGAGUACAUAAAUGAGUAUAUUUAUGGACUUAUCAAUUCACCUUCAGGUAUGUCCCCCAGAAAGCUGUCAAAGGGCAAACUGUGGCAGACUUCUUAGCAGAUCACCCAAGAGAGGAAAUUGAAAACAUGGAUUCUUUGGACAUAGCAAAUGCAGAUCUGCUAACUAGAGCUCAUGUUUGCCUUAACAAUCCAAUCUAUUCGAUUCAUCUCACACCUUGAAAAUUAUAUUUUGAUGGAUCAAAGACAGAUAAGGCUUCAGGAGCCGGGAUUGUUCUGGAAGAACCAUUAGGGGUCAGAUAUUGCUAUUCCUUCCAGUUAGAUUUCCAGUGCACCAACAACAGGGCCGAGUAUGUAGCUUUGAUUAUAGGGCUUGAGAUGUUGGUAGAAUUAGGAAUCCAAUCCGUGGAGAUCUUGGGAGAUUCCAUGCUUGUCCUAAAACAGAUUGCUGGAGAAUACAAGUGUCUAAAUCCUUCUCUGGCUGUAUAUCUAGUAGCAGCUAGAAAUCUGCUGACAGAAUUUAGAGAAGCUACUUGGGAACACAUCCCAAGGGAGGAAAACUUUGCAGCCAAUGAACUGGCUCAGGUGGCAUCAGGCAUACAAAUGCCCGAAGACUGCAUCCAAAGGAUCAUCAAGAUAGGAAGGAAAAGUCUACCAUCUGUUUUGACUAGAGGGAUGGAGAUAGAAGUCAAUUCUGCCUUAAUCACUGAAGAUGAUUGGAGGGAGCCUAUCAUGACUUACUUAAGAUAUCCCACUCUGCCCUCUAAGAAAAGAGUCAGAAUCAUGGCUACGAACUACCUCAUGUGGAAUGAAGAUUUGGUCCGAAAAAGUAAGGAUGAGGUGCUAUUAAGGUGCCUCAGGAAGACAGAAUAUAUGAAAGUCAUGGGAGAAACCCGUGAGGGGAUCUGUGGAGCUCACCAAGGGGGAAGAAAGAUGUGCUGGUUAAUCAGAAGGUAUGGCUACUUCUGGCCAACCAUGAUGAAGGAUUGCAUCAACUAUUCCAAGGGAUGUGAGGCCUGUCAAAGGCACGGCCCAAUCCAGCAGGCUCCUUCGAUUCCCAUGAAUCCAGUGGUAAAACCAUAACCUUUUAGGGGAUGGGCAAUGGAUCUCAUUGGCAAAAUCUAUCCAACCAGCAGCCAGCAACACUGUUUUAUUAUUGUUGCCACAGACUAUUUCACCAAGUGAGUAGAGGCCAGGCCAGUAAAAACCACAACAUCUCGAGUAGAGGCCAGGCCAGUAAAAACCACAACAUCUCAAGAGAUCAUCACCUUUAUAGAAGAAUAGAUCAUACAAAGGUUUGGCAUUCCAGAAUCAAUCACAACGGGUAGGGGUUCUUCUUUCAUAUCUAGGGAUAUGCUAGAUAUGGCAGAAACAUUCAAGUUCAAACUACUUCAAUCUACUCCUUACUAUGCUCAAGCUAAUGGACAGGCAGAAUCAAGUAACAAGGUGAUUAUCAAUAUCAUCAGAAAGAUGCUGGAAAAGAAUCCAAAGCAGUGGCAUGAGAAGUUAUCAGAGACUUUGUGGGCAUACAGAACUUCAAAAAUAGAAGCAACUGGCAUGACCCCCUAUGCUCUAACCUACGGCCAUGAUGCAAUUCUUCCCAUGGAGAUAGCAGUCCAGUCUCUUAGAAUUGCUCAUCAGCACGGUCUCACUGGGGAGGACUACUCUCAAGCCAUAUUGCUGGAAUUGGAAGAAUUGGAUGCAAGCAGGAUUGACACCCUCAACAAACUCUUAGCAGGAAAACAGGCUGUGUCGAGGGCCUACAACAAAAGAGUCAGAAACAAGAGUUUUGAAGAAGGAUAAAUAGUCUGGAAGGCAAUUCUGCCCCUCGGAGCACACAUAGCUGGAUAUGGGAAAUGGUCACCUACAUGGGAAGGCCCUUUUGUAAUUAACCAGAUCCUCGGAAUGGGGGCAUACAGGUUGCAGGACCGAGAUGGAGUUAUUCAUGCUGCCCCCAUCAACGGCAAAUGGUUAAAGAAAUUCCAUCCAACCAUGUGGGAUUCGCAGGCUGUACAGACAGAUCCCGGGAUAGAAGAGGAACAAGACUGACCCCUUUUUGUUUCUUGAAAAGAAUUUUGUUUGGAGCUAUUUUUGCUUUAAAGUUAUUUUAUUUUUGCUUUCAGUACUGUGUCCGGUUAUUGCAUCAAGAGUAAAUGAAAAGCAGUGAAAUGCUAUUUAAGGGCAACAAAUGAACAAGCUUAUAUAAAAAAUAGCCACCCUCGCGGCAAAAUUGUUCAAACAAUAAAGAAGCUAAAAGUAGAAAAGACUAAAACCCUAGUUUCCUAAGGGUUUCCUGCAGGUUCGCCUUCUUGACAGAGAGCUCUUUCUGGAGCAGCACCCCCUGAUGAAGUGAAGCCUCUGCAAUUUCCAAGGCUGGCCUGGAAGCUGCAACCAUGCUUUGCACAAGGAAGGUAGCCUUGAUCUUGGAACUCAAUCCAGCCCCAAGCCUGCUAUGCACCUCCCUGCACUCCGCCAGUUGUUUUUGGAGCUCUUCAAUUUGCUUCUCCAGCUUGUCUGCGGUAGCCCUGGCUUCCUUGUAUCCUGCCACCAUCUGGUCCAGUUCUGCUUUCUGCUUUGCAAAAUCAGCCAGGUUGGCUUCAUGAGUGGCCUUGCAGAACUCAGAAGUCUUGAAGGUGGGCCUAAGAUCCUCGUAACGAUCAUGCAAGUUGAGCACAUCUCUGGCCAAGCUUAGGCCCAUCUCAAGAAUAGGCUUCAGAGCCAUGUUCUGUCUGUGUAGCAGGUCCAAGUCUUUCAUCAGCUGAUCAAAGACUUCCUUAUCUUGGUCAAACUCCAGCUCAGUGGACUACCAGAUUUUCAACCUCUCCAUGGCUUCCUCCACUGCCCUAGAUUUUGCCCUGCCUGGAGGAGAGCUGAGUUUCUCCAAUCUAUCCAAUUGAGCAUCCAGAUCCAUGGCUUCAAACUCUUCCAGUUCUGGAUCAGCAAAAGAAGCCGUGGAUGAUCCUGGAAAGGAAUGAAUAGGCAUCUGCAGAAGAAAGCAUAAGUUAAGACCAGGCAGAAAGUGGAAAAUAAGGGGCCUAAAGGUUAUGAAAGCUUACAGCAACAAUGGAGGCUUCAGGGGGCUGGUCACCGCUGCCAGGACGCCAACAGCUUUAGGCACUUCUACCUGGAAAGGCUACGAUAGUUAAAAAGGAAGAACAAGGCAGAAUUGCAGGAAAAUAUGAACAGGUAAGGAGGAAAAUUACCACAACCACAGGAACAGCGGCAGUUGUUUCCACCUCAGCCUCCGGAACAACAACAGACAGUUCUGCCUGAUCCACAGGCUCUGAUGCAGAAUGCUCCGCCUGAUUCUCAGCCGCUGGAGCGGCAGUAGAGUGCUCUGCCUCGGCAUCCUCAAAUAAGGCCAGUUCUGAGCUAGUCAGCUCAGCCCUUGGACCCCCUUGUUGCCUAUGCGCUAAGGCAAUGCUCUCUGCAAUCACCUCAGCAGGGAUCUCCUCCUACAGAACAGGGGUCAGAACAGAAGGAAUGGGGCGAAAGGGGAACUGAUACAAGUCACAGAAAUAAACCUCACCUCUCCUUCCACCAUUGUUGUUUUUUCCUGAGGCACUCCUUCCAACUCUUCCAGCUCUUUUUCCUGCUCCACCUCCUCAAAAGCCUCUCGCAGCUCUUCAUCCGUCCCAGAAGUAGUGGUAGGGACUGCUGCGGUUUCUUCUAUGGCAACAUACUCCACUUCACUCCUCUUUUUAAGCUUUUUCAACUUAGUAGGAGGAGGGGAAGGACUUUCAGCUGGACAGAACAAAAGCAAAGAUUAGGAAAAAGAAGGCAAGCCAGAAUAAGUGUGAAAGAAAUAGCUGGAACAUCACGAGCUUACCUGAAAUGCCAGGCCGCGUGGUAUUGUCCGGAGGAGAGACAUGUCCUUUUCUUUUUCUUCUGCCAGAAAGAGCGGCCUCGGCAGGGGUUUGUUCCACCUGGACCUCAUCUUCUUCAUCUGCAGAAGGAAGCUCCAAGUCCCCGGCGGCAAUAACAGAAGAGACUGCACCAAGGAGUUAGAGAUUAGAAACCAAUCCAGCAGGAAAAGACAGAAGAAAAUUAAAAAGGAAAACUUACCGAUCACUUCUCCAGCCUGAACAGACUGCCCACCUACGUCGUUUGUCAGAGAAGGAUCUGAUAUAGGCAGAAUAGACAUUAGAAAUCGAUCAUCAAGACAGAACAAAUCCCAGACAGAAUCUGAAAUCUACCUUCUAUGACUUGUGCAUUGGUAUCUUUGAUAGUCUGGACUAUGUGCGUUCCCCAUCCGCAAAAAUGAGCCAGUUUCCCCAACCGUCAAAAAGCACCUUGAAGGCAGUGACAGAAGCAGGCAGACCUUGGAAUCUGGCUUUCCACCAGGCGUCAAAGUCAGCAGAACUGCAGGAAUUCAGCUCCCACGAGGGAUAGAGGGCAUCCGUGCUGUUGUUGAUUUUGUUCACUGCACACCGGGCAUCCUUGUGCACCUCCAGAUCAUCUGCAUCCCUCCAAGAGGAGGCCCAGUUACAACUCCGAUAUGAUUUCAGUGGAAUGAGCUGAGGACAGCCAAGCUGCCUUGCACAGAAGUUGGGAUAAUAGACUUCUGCCCCCAGAUGAUAAUUUGGAGGUUUGCCCCCACCGUGGGGCAGAUCUUGGGGCAGAGUAAUGCUCAGAAAUUUCUUCCUGAAGUCUGUUCUGGCAGCCUCGUCUUCUGGCUCCUUCUCGAACAACCGAAAUCCGGUCUGGAACCAAGGAUAGGUCCUUUUGAUUGCCACUUGCCACUGAGCUGCCGACCUUUUUGUACAAUGCCUAAAGAGCAUCAAGUACUCCUCAAUAGAAUGCUUGGGCACUUCUGCCGAUAUCAGAGGAAGGGCCAGGACUUGGUCUUCAGGCAGAACUAUGUCUGGGAACCUUAGCUCUGGAAAAUAGACCUGCAGCCAGAUCUGGAUCAUCCAGAAUGCGCCAAGGGCCGACAGGUUCAGUGGAUUCUCCAGGGUUGCAGUGUGCAGAUUCUUGAAAAGAUGAGCCAGAACUGUAAGGCCAAGUCCCACAUCAGUGUGAUUGUGAAGCGCUUCUGCCAGAUGUCUGUACUCAAGUAGAACUGCCGAAGACCGAUUGGGGAAAACGAACCGAUUCAGCCAAUACAAAAGAAAGAACAUGUGUUGCUGAUCCUUGUCCUUCUCAGCACUAAAUUUCUUCAGAUAAUUAGAGAAGGAGCAGUUCUGGUUGAUCGUGGCCGGAGAGAUAGUGAAGGGAGUGGCCACUUUUUCUUGAUUUUUUCGCCUGUGAUAAUCUCCAACAGCAUCAACAGGCCUGCCAUGGGGCCUGAACCCAAAGAUCUGGGCCAUAUCCAGCAGGGUUGGCGCCAUAGGACCCACACGGAAAUCAAACGUGUUACUGACAGAAUUUCAGAAGCACAAGGCAGCAGCAAGCAGGUUCUCAUCUCUGUUAAUCGACUGCUUGGACAGGAGAAUGGCGUCAUAAAUCCCGGCUCUCCUCCAAUGACCCCCAUACCUCGGGAGAAGCCUGUCAAUCCAGUCUGCCCAUUUCACCUGACUGUUCCUCACCUCGCUGGACGGGAAAGACCGGCUCAAAUUCUUGCUAACCCAAGAAUAAGAAGCCAGAGCAGAAGUACUCUCAAAGCAUAAAGGAGCCUCGGCAUCCUUUUUCAGCAACUCUGCCAUCUCAGCCGGAACAGGACCAAACCAGUGAGGCCCUAACACCAGGGUAUUCUCAAACAAAUGAAGGACAUUCUCGUCCAGGUUCCUUCGGGCAAAGGGAUGAAGCUUGCUCCUGACUUCUAUUGCAUGAGCAUCAAUCCCAGUCCCAGUAAUGUAAUCGGGAGAAACUAGAGCUGAAGAAGACUGAGCACGAGACCUUGGGGAAGACAUUUCUGAAUCAAAAGAAGAAGCAGAGAGAGAAUGAAAGAAACGGGAGGUCCGAAGGAAACAAUGGAAAUCCCGAAGAAAAGCUUGAAAGAACAGAGUCGGAAGGGUUAGGUUUUUCAGAAGCGAUGGAUUUGAAUUUCUUUGAAAGAGAGGCUCGAAAACGUGGGAAGAGGAAGAUGGGACGGCACCUGAUGAUUAUUAGCUAGUAACUAGCUAAUAAACUAGCCGUUUUCCCACGAACUCUAGUUCGUGGUGGCAGACGUGGGCUAAAAAACGGAAAAGACUGGCGCGCAAAGUAAUGGCACAAGCAUUAAGUCUGAAACCGUUCCAGUUCCAAAACGAUUCAGACUUAGGGGGCAUUGUUUGGGCCUAAAUUUGGCACGCCAAAGUUCAAAAGACAGGCCCAUGGUGAAAUUACCUGCCCAGCCCAAAAAACUUGAGGGUAACAAAAUUAGGAUCCAGACAGGUUGGGCUUCAGGCCAGAAUGUCAAAAACAAAACCCCCAGCCCAAGAAAGACCAACGUGGAAACUGUCAUUUGGGCUUCAAGGAUCAGCCCGUAAUUUUUGUUGGGUUCAAACCCAAGGGAUUAAAAACAUACCCACGUGACUACCUCAGCUUUGAAAAGUCAGCAAUUCCAACUAAAAUAAAAAAUGAGAGGGACAUCUCUGAAGCACUGCCAACAGAACAUCAAAACCCAUCUGUGUUCGGAGAUUUUGCUCCAGAGCAAUACACCAUCUUCUGAGGAAUUCAUGGGCCACACUUUCUAAAUUAGAACGGGAAACAGGGAGCUGUUCAGAAAAUACAAAAGAAAAAUCAACCGCCAUAAAAAGCCCACACAGACGGUGGCGUUGGUUGAAAUAGAAAGCUGCCACCCAGGAAACCAGGGAAGGGACUGCUUUAGGAGGUGACUACUGAGAGCCUAUCUGCCAUGAUUGAUAAAAAUCCUUUUUUACUUUACAUUAUAGGAGAUCUUUUUAACCGCCCAUUAUUUAAAUUUGAAACCACCUCCCCAAGAGGGUCUCUUAUAAAAACGAAGGUAGGCAAGGAAGGGACGACACUCAAUUCAUC